CCUACGGGGGGCUGCAGUGGGGAAUAUUGGACAAUGGGGGGAACCCUGAUCCAGCCAUGCCGCGUGUGUGAAGAAGGCCCUCGGGUUGUAAAGCACUUUCAGUGAGGAAGAACGCCUGGUGGUUAAUACCCAUCAGGAAAGACAUCACUCACAGAAGAAGCACCGGCUAACUCCGUGCCAGCAGCCGCGGUAAUACGGAGGGUGCGAGCGUUAAUCGGAAUUACUGGGCGUAAAGCGCGCGUAGGUGGCUUGAUAAGCCGGUUGUGAAAGCCCCGGGCUCAACCUGGGAACGGCAUCCGGAACUGUCAAGCUAGAGUGCAGGAGAGGAAGGUAGAAUUCCCGGUGUAGCGGUGAAAUGCGUAGAGAUCGGGAGGAAUACCAGUGGCGAAGGCAGCCUUCUGGACUGACACUGACACUGAGGUGCGAAAGCGUGGGUAGCAAACAGGAUUAGAUACCCUGGUAGUC
This 465-nucleotide ribosomal RNA is filed under the name Vreelandella stevensii. Its description in RNAcentral is "partial 16S ribosomal RNA". It matches the Rfam family "Bacterial small subunit ribosomal RNA", at positions 338 to 795 of the family's 1533-position model. Lineage: Bacteria; Pseudomonadati; Pseudomonadota; Gammaproteobacteria; Oceanospirillales; Halomonadaceae. The record is from RNAcentral.